This 497-nucleotide ribosomal RNA is filed under the name uncultured bacterium. RNAcentral's name for it is "partial 16S ribosomal RNA". It matches the Rfam family "Bacterial small subunit ribosomal RNA", at positions 28 to 507 of the family's 1533-position model. The record is from RNAcentral.
GAUGAACGCUGGCGGCGUGCCUAAUACAUGCAAGUCGAGCGAACAGACGAGGAGCUUGCUCCUCUGACGUUAGCGGCGGACGGGUGAGUAACACGUGGAUAACCUACCUAUAAGACUGGGAUAACUUCGGGAAACCGGAGCUAAUACCGGAUAAUAUAUUGAACCGCAUGGUUCAAUAGUGAAAGACGGUUUUGCUGUCACUUAUAGAUGGAUCCGCGCCGCAGUAGCUAGUUGGUAAGGUAACGGCUUACCAAGGCAACUAUGCGUAGCCGGCAUGAGGGGGUGAUCGGCCACACUGGAACUGAGACACGGUCCAGACUCCUACGGGAGGCAGCAGUAGGGAAUCUUCCGCAAUGGGCGAAAGCCUGACGGAGCAACGCCGCGUGAGUGAUGAAGGUCUUCGGAUCGUAAAACUCUGUUAUUAGGGAAGAACAAAUGUGUAAGUAACUAUGCACGUCUUGACGGUACCUAAUCAGAAAGCCACGGCUAACUACGUG